RNAcentral lists this small nuclear RNA (324 nucleotides) under Tupaia belangeri chinensis (Chinese tree shrew). RNAcentral describes it as "Tupaia chinensis (Chinese tree shrew) 7SK RNA". It matches the Rfam family "7SK RNA". From Rfam's summary of the family: 7SK was discovered as an abundant small nuclear RNA in the mid-70s but a possible function has only recently been suggested. The record is from Rfam by way of RNAcentral. Lineage: Eukaryota; Metazoa; Chordata; Mammalia; Scandentia; Tupaiidae.
GGAUGUAAGGGCCAUGUGGCUGUGACAUCUGUCACCCCAUUGAUUGCCAGGGUUGAUUCAGCUGAUCUGGCUGGCUGGGCAGGUGUCCAUGUCAUCCCUUUCCACUUCAUGUGCAUCCCUCCCGAAGUUGUGCUCUAGGUGGAAGAAAGAGAUCAAUGGAAGAGGAGCAUUCUUCAGUAAAGGCUGUAUGAGUAGCUGUGCUCCGCUCAUGGAACUUCCAGACGAGCUCGCAAGGUUCAUUAUAGGAGAAUAUAGGGGACUAAAGCUUCCAAGACUCCAGGCACAUCCAAAUGAUGUGUCGUGUAUGGCAGUAUGAUUUUCUUU